AAGUCGUAACAAGAUUUCCGUAGGUGAACCUGCGGAAGGAUCAUUAUCAAAACAGCAGCCUUCAGGCCUCGCUACACCCUUAUCUUUUACGCACCGUAUUAUUUCCUCGGCGGGCUUACCUACCGGUUAGACAUCAUAAAACCUUUUUAUAGUUACAAUCAGCGUCAGAAAAACAAUAAUUAUUACAACUUUCAACAACAGAUCUCUUAGUUCUA
This 215-nucleotide unclassified non-coding RNA is filed under the name fungal sp. RNAcentral describes it as "partial internal transcribed spacer region". The stretch from base 1 to 46 matches the Rfam family "Eukaryotic small subunit ribosomal RNA", at positions 1786 to 1831 of the family's 1831-position model. The record is from RNAcentral. Lineage: Eukaryota; Fungi.